CCUACGGGAGGCAGCAGUGGGGGAUAUUGCACAAUGGGGGAAACCCUGAUGCAGCGACGCCGCGUGAGUGAAGAAGUAUUUCGGUAUGUAAAGCUCUAUCAGCAGGGAAGAAAAUGACAGUACCUGACCAAGAAGCCCCGGCUAACUACGUGCCAGCAGCCGCGGUAUUACGUAGGGGGCAAGCGUUAUCCGGAUGUAUUGGGGUUAAGGGGUGCGCAGGCGGCCUGUUAAGGCAGCGGUAAAAGCCCGGGGCAAAACCCCGGCGAGCCGUUGAAACUGGCGGGCUGGAGUUGGAGAGAAGUACGCGGAAUGCGCGGUGUAGCGGUGAAAUGCUUAGAUAUCGCGCAGAACCCCGAUUGCGAAGGCAGCGUACCGGCUCCACACUGACGCUGAGGCACGAAAGCGUGGGUAUCGAACAGGAUUAGAUACCCGUGUAGUC
RNAcentral lists this ribosomal RNA (439 nucleotides) under uncultured bacterium. RNAcentral describes it as "partial 16S ribosomal RNA". It matches the Rfam family "Bacterial small subunit ribosomal RNA", at positions 338 to 795 of the family's 1533-position model. The record is from RNAcentral.